Long non-coding RNA from Centrocercus urophasianus (Greater sage-grouse), 992 nucleotides. RefSeq lists it as uncharacterized. Lineage: Eukaryota; Metazoa; Chordata; Aves; Galliformes; Phasianidae. The record is from RefSeq and is a predicted model, not a curated record. The transcript has 6 exons.
ACUCUGAAUGGGAGAGCCUUGCAAUGGGACAACAGCCAAGAGAGCACCUGAACAGCAGAGCACUUUGGUAGCAGCGAGAAAAGUCAAUACAGGUUCUGAUAGCACAGCAGCACUCAGCAGGCUCAUUGCUUUCUCUGACCUACAGUGCUGACAUCCAAACUGAAAGGACUACAUUUAAGUGUCAAAGAGAUUCCCAGCCAUCUGCUGCCUCACCAGCUGCUCUCGAUGCAGGAUGAAACUUAUCUCAAUUCAGGAACCUGGGCCUCAGGCAGAGGGGUGGAAGGAGCAUCGCUGACCUCACAAGUGCUGUCUGCAGGAUGCGCGCCCAGACUGGUGCAGACGUUGGAAAUUGGAUGAAUCUCUUGUGGUAUCUCCUCUUUGGUCAGCACAAGCAGAGUGUUUCCCCAGCGGUGCAGUGGAGAAAGACUUGGAUCAUCCCUGUUUGUCCCACGCACUGGCUCAUCAGAUAUUUCUAGAGAAGCUUCUGCAAUGUCCUUCCUUCAACAAACCAUGCACUGGGGCAGCCAGACUGCAAUGGGCAGCAGCCUGUGCUGAUGGAAAGAAGAUACUGUCUGGAUCCCAUGGAGAGCAAGGCACAUGAUGAAGUCUGCGGAGCUGCUUGCUGAUGGGACCCGCUGCCACCAUCCUGCACCCUGCUCUGGGCACACAGAGACCCACAGCACUGCCCGAGUCCACCAGGAAACAGCCCGGAAACCUCAGUUUAUUUUCCCCCCCCCUUGUUGUUUUUCCCUCUCAGAAUUAUAUCUGACACCAGAGUCCAUCAGACAAAGUCCUUACAAACACAGGAGUCCUGAAGACAUCGGCUGAAUGUUUUCCUGGUAUAAAGAAGAAGAGGAGGAGAAAGAGGUGGUGACGGUGCGGGUGCAGAGAGUUUGGACUGGGACGGAGGGCGUGGUGGAAGGAGAGAGGUCGGUAUGUUUGUACCAAUGUUUUUAAAUUAUUUUUUUAUUUGUUCAUAUGUUCUCUUUUUU